GAUUCCAUGCAGGGUUUUUAAUGUCCAAUUAGGAGAAAGAUUAAAGCUUGCUUGGCUAGGAGUGGAAGCGGAUCCGCUACUUCAGUCAGAUGACCUUUUGAAGAAGGCUUACAACAGGCUGUCUCAGGAUGUCAAUGGCUCAACUCAAAAGUCCCCAAAGCGGUUGAUAUCAAAGAAUGCCAUUGUCUCCAGGCUUGGGCUCCUUGGCAUCAAACAAGGGAAUGUCGACUCUGUUGAAGGGGAAGCACGGGCUUCUAAAGUGCGAAGAAAGAGGAUAGUCCGGAAGAAGGUGCCGCAUAAAUUUCUUGGGAGUUAAUCCUAGUCAAUAGCCCAAUUUUGCUGCCUGUCGACGACAUACAACACGGAAGUCCUCAUCAAACUCUUUGGGACAUCUAAGAACUAGUAGGGAGGUGGUGGUAUUCACUGUGUUUCCUGGCAAGUAUAGUUCACUGAUGGAUGGAUUCUUUUCUUGAUGUCUAAAUAUCAUAUGUGAUACAACGUCGUAUAUUCCAAUUUUUCUCCAGUAAAAUUCUUAAUAAAGUUGAUUUACUUUGGAAUCUUAUUCACUCUCUUUGUUAAAUUUUGCAAAUUCUAAUGCGGAUUUGUCAAAAAAAGCGUCUUUGUGAUUUCUUUGAUAGACUUUUGAUCGCUAGUUUAAGUUUGAAUCAUCUUGCAAUACCAAAAAGCUAAAACUUUUAAUUACUUGAUCGUAUUCGAGUCCUUGUUUAGUAUUACCUCUAAUUAUAAUAUAAACGUUGAUAUUAUAUAGUAAAUAUGAUUGUUAAAUAAUAAUUUUGAUAAAAUUAUUAGAGAUAUUUUAGUUUUUUUUAUAAUGGAGUAUGAGAUUAGAUCAAUUUAAGUAAUAAUUAUAAAUGUUUACAAAAUACUCUUAACGUUGGACCCUAAAAAUUAUGCUCUACGAAACUCUUACCGGAUUUUAGUUGUACUUUCUAGCCCGAUUGUAGAAGUCCUUACUCGAUGUACUUCACCGUAGAAGACAUUCCCCAAUUAUACUUAAAUCUUACUCGACUUUGAUUUGUAUAUUUUAUGCCUAAAUUUUUGUCAACAAAUUGGUCCCAGGUUCAUGCUUCUUCGGCUUGGGUGAUCCCAGCGAAUCCAUUGCGUCCAUUCCACGUUAAGUGCAUGCAAUCCACAAGUUUGAUUGAGCAGAAAUAGCCACAAAAAAAAAACUAAUGAAACCCACGUCCAGAAGUGCCGUUGUCACAGAUGCCUAGACACUACACCCCAUCCCCUCUUACCAUAUUUUGUAAUUGAGGAGCCCAUUAAUAAAUUGAAAAAUUAUCAUUCAAAAUCCAAAAAUAGAAAAAGAACAAUUCUUGGAAACACACUCGGAGUUUUAAAUUCAUGUGAGAAAAUAGUUUAUUAUUAUUUUCUUUUCCAAAAAUUAAGCUAAGACAUCAGUAUAUGCCCAAAAUACCCUCAUAUUAUCCCUAACUUUCUAAACUCCCCCGCUCCUCUCAACAUCAUCUCUUCCAAAUCUCCCCCCCCCCCCCCCCCCCCCACCACAAAAAAAACACACCAGCCAUGGCUUCAAAUUCAAUCACCUCAACUCUCCAACAUUGGCUUGUAAACCACCCACAAAUCCUCAACUUCACAUGGACUGAAAACCAAACCCCAGCUUCCUCAUUCUCUCCAUCCUCACUUACCUCUCCCUCACAUCCAUCCUCUACCACACAUUAACGUCAACAUCACCAUCAUCAUCACCUCUCAUUGGACCCCACGUCCUCAAGCCCAUCACAGCCGUCCAUAACCUCACCCUCCUCCUCUCCCUCAUCAUGCCUGUUGGUUGCACCCUCUCCAUCAUCCUCCACUCACCCCACCUCCGUUACACCCUCUGUUUCCCCCCCACCAUUUCUCCCUCCGGCCCCCUCUUCUUCUACGCUUACAUCUUCUACCUUUUCCAAAAUACUCGAAUUCCUAGACACCCUUUUGAUCGUUUUGUCAAACUCCAUCCAGCGCCAACUAGGAGAGUUUGAAAUCACUACACAUGUGCGUGAGAAAGUGAAUUUAUCUUAGAAAAAUCACUUUUUAAAUUUUCUCACUCGCCCAUUUUGAGAAAGUAAGUUCAAAUUUCUCUUUAUAAUAUAUGAGGAAGAUUGAGAUUCUCUGUAAAAGAACAGAUUAGAAAUUUGAACAAAUAUUUCCAAAGACAUCGACCCAUCUUUAAAUUACAAAGUCCAAUAAAUAUAUAAACCUAAAUCUAGUGGGAUUUAGGUUCGUUCAUGGAAAUAUAUAUAAUAAAUUAUUUCCAGUUUGAAACUUUUUCCUUUUUUUUUUUUUUUUUUUGCUCUUUAAGUUGUACAAUUUCCUUUCCUUCGUUGGUUGAUACAAAAUUUUGAAUAAUUGCAGUGACAAAUGGGCAAAAUUUACAGAAAUUAAAAAGGAGAAAAGAAAAAGUUGGCAGAAACUUCCAAACGAAGACCAAAACUCUAAAUCACUAUUAGUGAUUACAACUAAUUUGGCAAAUAAAAUAAAAAUGCAAAACCCCCCAAAUUAUCCGAAAACCGAGUAAAGAAAACACAGCCGGGGAGGACCGCGAGUGCGCGGGCCAAUCGUGUGGGUCCCCCGCGGAGCACUUUGUCCCAAUUGGAAUUAAAAUGCUUAGUAUGCUCAGUUGUAAUUAAAAUGCUUAGUCACUUAUUCCUAAUCAUUCUGAUUUUCACGUUAUUUUAGGUCCAUAAACAGUUUUCACACAUGUUUCAAUGCUUCUUGUAAUGACAAUUUCACAUCUUGCAUCUCUAACGUGCAUCACGUUUGAAACAGCUUUCGCGGUAAAGUCUUCGAUGCUUGUACAAUGGCUGUGAAGAGGCACAUUAAAUUCGGUACAUUUUGGUGCGGCCUCCUAAUGCUGGUAUAAUGUUGUGUAUAUUUAGUUUGCAAUUAAAACUUAGGUAUACAAAUCUUAAUCUGCAAUAGAUCGUAGUGUACAAAGUUUCUAUUAAUGAUAUGGUGACUGAAAUUUUAAUUAUCUUAAAAUUUUUCUCUGACUCUCUUUUACUUUCUUUGUACAGAGUACCUGUUUUGGCUGAUGUGUCUAAUUCAUAGAAAUUCAUUUCCAUCGGUUUCCAUUGGUUUGAGCACAAACAGAAACAGAGGUCUGAGGAAAAGGUUUACUUCUUGCGGUAUUAUGCCUUUGUUUCUUUAUUCACCAUAUUUGUUCGAAUUCAUGCCCUCAUUAAGAAUUUAAAGCCUUUUCCAGGCAGCUUUGUAGCCAAAUUUUGAUGCCAUAAAUGCAUGAUUGUCAUUUAGAUUUUCCGAAUAUUUGUUAUUUGGAGAAAUAUUGUUAAAAGAGCAUUUGAUUAGCUACUUACCCUAUGAAUUUAGUUGCCAAUAAUACAUUGAAAUUGAGUAGGGUAAUGGUUGAGGAAAGUUAUUGUCUUAAUUAAAUUACAGGUGAUAAGAUGUUGCUUGAAAUCAGCAUGUUAUAUGGCGAUGAUUUUGCCCACAUGAGACGCUGUGAUUCUUGACAUUGGGAUAACUCAGGUCACUCAUUCUGAAUCUUUUCUAAUUUUCAAGUUCCUUAGGGCCAUGACUAGUUUUUCAAGUCUGCAUGUGGCUGCAAAUGAUUGAUGGUCAUAAAAUUAUCUUGAGCCUUGAGGCAUUGCGUUUGAGCGCACACAGAAACAGAGCUAAAGGAAAAGAACUUGACAGUCGAAGAUGCUCUAAAUAUAACAAAAGUAUAUUUCUACUUCUUGUGGUUAUUUUACUGUUGUCUCUUCGGUCAUCAUAUUUGAUUAAUUGUUCGAAUUCACACUCUCACUUAUUAUUUAAAACCAUUCUUAUGUGGCUUGCAAGCUAAUUAAGUUAAAGCAGAAACAAUACUAUAGACGAAGAUGAGCAAAUUGAAGGUGAUAAGUGCAUAUAUAGUGGCCAAGUCGCUUAUUAUACGUCUCUCAUACUAACAUGAUUCUGAAUUUGAAUUUCCAUGAAUAAUUGUUAGGCUGGUGCACUUAUUCUUGAAAGGGCGUUAAGCUACCUUAUGAAAUUGGAAAGUUAUUAUUGCUUGAAUGCAAGCACCGUCUUCUGUUGCAAAGGCUUUCCCCACAUGAUGAGAUGCUGUGAUUGUUACCGGACCCUUAAUUAUUUAACUCAGGAUUUUAUCAUCAACCACAUCAUCUUAUUCACCAUUUUGGAUAUAUAUAAAGAUUAAAAUUUCUAACAGUUGUUUCGGAUUCUUGUGUAAUCAGAUAAAUGGGGCAAAUGUCAGAACAAAGAUUGCUCAGUGCUGCUGGUAGGGCAAGGAUGAUGAUGGUGAGGAAGAUUGCUCACAAGCCAAGUAGAGCCCUCCAUUUUGAGAAAUAUCAUCCUCAAAUUUGAAUUGUUGAGCAUAUGAAGUGAUGCUAAAGCCUUAAUAUUAAGUCUUUCUGAAAGUUUCAUUUGAAUGAAUUUUCGGAGAUUGAAUGUUAUUAGAGUGAGUAAGAAAAUUAAGCACAUAUCUGCGAUUUGGGUUGUCGGUGAAUGUUCUCCUUUAAUAUUUGUACACACCCAUUUCUUAGUAAAAUUUUCUUCAUGUCUUUUACUAUGACAUAGGCUAAUAGCCGUACCAUAUAACGUUUUCUUCUUAUUUCUUUAUGCUUGGUUUUGCUACAUAUCAUUUCUGUACAUUCAAGAAAGCAAUUUUGUAACUACUUAACUCUGCUUCGGCAAAGUUAAGUAGUUACAAAAUUCUUUUUUUUUUUCCUUUUUCUUUCUACGAUAAACUUGCCACAAAUGGAAGCGAUUGGCUUGAUUUUUGCUUCUGUAAAAAGUGGUGGGAGCAAUGUCUUGUGUACCCGCAAGUUAUAAAUCGUCAUAGUUUAAAUGAAGAAUCCCGAGUUGCCAUCCAAAACUAAAGAAAUUGCAAAUUAAGUAGUUCAUUACAAAUGAUAUAUUUUGAGUUGCUAAUUAUUAAGUAUUUCAUUCAAAAAUGUUCUCGUUCCCACAAUUCCUAAUGUUUAAAGUGCAUCAUUGCUCUACUUCUGUCAUAACAGCAUAAGAGAAUUUAACAUAAUACUGAGAAAAUGAUUAUUUUACCCUAAAUGUAAAUGAUUAUUCUACCCUUAACAUAAAAUAACUAUAUUUGCCCUAAUUUAAUGACGAAAGAAAAAAUAGAUGACUGCAAUAUAGAUAUUAAAUAAUAAAUAAAAUAAAAAAUCAGAAUUAAAACUAAAAUAAUUAAAAGAGAGCUCAAGAGAAAACGCACUUUAAUCUGGUACCUGUACCCGUGGAUCGUGGCGAUGGCGGAUUGGGGCUUAUUAUCAAGUCGUUAAAAAUUUUAAACUUUCAAAUUUUUUUAAACCUUGAAUUUUUUAGUUUAUUGGUUAAGCGAUAAAAUUUGGUGGUAGUAUGAUACUGUGUUGUAUAUAUGUUGUGUUAUUUUAGCUUUGUUAUUUUGGGGCAAUCGUUGGAUUUUUCAAUAAAUUAUAGGACCACAGCGAAAACAAAUGUGGCGGUUUGCCUUCUUUGGCUCCUGACGCUGAUAAUCAUUCACUCGUUGAUUUUAGUAAAGAAAUCGACGAUCCCAACCGAAGGAGAAAAAUGACUGGCACAGCAGGUUGUCCGUUACUAGUUAUGCAUUGUCAUUGUAGAAAGUUUCAAGCAGAUGGGAUUAUAUAAUUCUUCUUUAAAUACGACGUCGUUUUUGUCCGUUAAGAGUCCAAUGACAAGUUUAUCAUUCUGACAUGAGUAAAAUUCUAACGGCGUGAUGACAAUAGUAUAGAAAUGAUACAUUUUGUAAACAUCAGGUGGAAUUGUUAUAAAAAAAAAAGUGGUCGUGUAUUUUUUAUAAAGUCUAAAACAUCAAGUGAUUAGAGAAUAUUUGUGCUUAAGUAUUUCAUUCAAAAAAAUUUCCACUCCUAGACUAUUUGAGUUGUUACCAAAACUGAUAAUUUUUUUUUUUUUCAUGAUGAAUCUCGAUAUUUAGGAUGAAUAUUUUAAUAUUUAAGCUUAAUGGUCAAUAAUCGGCCCACUAUUGGUAGUAGAAUUUUUAUUCCAACACUAUACAAUUUUCGUGUGAGGUGAUCUUAGUCUUAUCUCAACCUCAAAAGUCAAUAGCUAGUUCAGUAAGUGAGAUUUUUUUUCUCACACUUAUGAAAUCACCACAAGCUCCUCCCACAACCAAUGUGGGAUAAUCCCAACAAUCUCCCCUCACUCAUCAGGCCUUGGGUUGGAAGCAUAAACAUCCAUUCUCCCUAUUAGAUUGUUGGUUGAGUUGUUGGUGAACUUGAGCUUUGAUACUAAUGUUAGAUGGUCUUGGGCUUCUCUCGACUUCAAAAGCUAGCUCAAAGAGAGAGAUAUUCCCUCACAUUUAUGAGGUCAUUAUCAGCCUCUUCCACAAUCGAUGUCGGCUAACCCGACGUUUCUCUCUCUAUAUAAUACAUAAGUUGGAUAACAAAUUUAUAUCUCAAUCUAGGUAUAAACAUUAAUUUUAUUUCUUUUUAUCAAUCAUUAUCCUAUUGGGUCUAUCGACUCACCGUACAAAAUGUUGUAAAACUUCCCCGCCGAAGAGACUUUGGUAGCUUUGAGUUUGUAAAUCAAGUUCCUAUCCGUCGUCCCUCCUAAUCCAUUCUUCGGCGAAGUACGCCUGACAUUCUUGUACCUUACAACGUCAUAUUUGGCACAAAAUUCAUGAAACUUAAACCAAACACUAAACUAUUAUUAGUUCUCAACAUUUUAUAUCAUUCGACGUUUUGUGUCAGAAUAAAUAUUUUAUCUUUGAACUUCGCAAGCACUUAUUCAUGGCUUAUUUCUCAACUCACUAUGGAUUAAUGAUGCUGAUGAAAUUGUGGAUUAACCAGACAAUAUUGUAAUUAUUACACAUACACACAAGCACACGUACAUACGUACAAAAGCAUAUAGGAGUUGACCUUGCUCAGGAUUUAAAAAAAAAUGAAUAAAAUUUUCCAAUAAUUAAUUAAGAUAAAAAAGAUCAUUAAAACCCGAGUACCCCUCGCAAUUGUGUCACUUGAAUUUUCUGUAUUUAUGCACAUAUAAUAUUUUGAAUGAAUCUAUAAUGAUGUUAAUUUUUUAAUCAGCUUAAUCUUAAAUUAAAAUUUUCUUUUGAAAAAAAAUGAAGAAAUCUUAAAAUAUUAUAAAAUAUAGAUCAGUUGGAAAACUAUUCCUAGAAAUGCAUCUUAGUUUUAUUCUUGGAAAAUGUUUCCUUUCGCACUUGCGAGGAAUUAGAAAUUGAACAAUAAUUUUUAGACUUUUCAUUGUCUUUGUGGUUAUAUGGUUGUCUUUAAUAUAAAUAUAUGAUCCCGGAGGCCAAAUGUCUAAUUCACAUGCAUUUACCUAAUCCUUUUUUUUUUUUUUUUUUUUGGGAUAGGGCAAUUACCUAAUACCUUGAAGAAAGAGAGAUAAAAUAUAAUUCAUGCCAAUUUGUUGCAACAAAGCUUUCAUAUCAAGCGUUGGCAUAAAUUAUUAUGCCAAUUUGUUCAAGACAAUAUCUUUAGUUGGCAUGUAAUUUUCAUUAGCCGGCGUCUACUCUUAAUUUAUGUCAAAUUAAGUAAUCGCUCCGCCCCAAUAAUGUUGCCUUUGAUCUCUCAGCCCCAGUAAAAGAAUUGGGUGAAAGAGAAUGUUGGUCACUGUUUAAGCAAGUAUGCUUUUGGCGGUCCUUUGAGGAUCUUCAAAAUUUAGAACCAAUCAAAAAUAAAAAAUUUCAUACAAGUGUAAAGGCUUGCCUCUUAAUGCAAAGGUAAUACGAAGUCUCUUGCUGACAUAUACAUCCUUUUCUUUAUAAUCUUUUACUUAUAUAUAUAUAUAUAGGGAGAAUGACAAUUUUCUCCCAUACUGUAAUCAAUAUAUAUCAUUUACGUCCUACUUUUUUAUAAUAACCAAUAAUCUUUGGAUAGCAUAAUUUAACAAUAUUAUUUUUGGUUUAUUUUAAUUUUUGUUCAUUUGAUUUCAUAGUAGUAGUUUUCAUUUUUUUAGUUUAAAAUUUGUAAAAAUGAACUAAAAUGAGAUAAUUUUGAAAAAGAAUCAAAACAAAAAAGGCCCAAAAUUACCCCUGUUCCGAACAUUAUCUGAAUCCAUCAUAAUUGACCCAAAUUCAAAUUUAACUCAAACCCAACCUCGGCCUCAUAUAAUUAUAACCUGAUCCGAUCUAGACUCAACCCCAAAGUUUUGAUUUGAUCUAAUCCAAUUCGAAUAUUCCAAGCCAAUCAACCUAAAACCCAAUCAAGUUGAUCCAAACCCAAAUUUGCGCACUCCUAGAGGGGACCAUCACCCUAUAAGCUUUGAAAUUUUUUUUGAGGUUUUUAAAUGAAAUAUUCAAAAUUAGGUAUAAAAUGACUGAUUUGCCCUUGAAUACUUGAUACAUAAACUUGAUACAUAUAAUGAAACUUUAAUUGUAUAUUUUGUGAAAUAAAAUCAAUUAAACCUGAUUUUUUGAUUUUUAUUUGUUAAUUAUUUUUCAUAGCCUUUUUUAAAAGUUUGUAAGUUUGGGCCUACCUCUUUGAUUUUUAUUUUGUUCAUUUUGCUUUCUCUUGCAACAAUAGUUUCAAAUAUCAGUCACAAAAUUCUCAAAUUUUGGAAUACCCUACAUACUAUUACUAGCUAUAAAUAGAAAAAACUGAAUAAAAUUAAUCCCCAGCUAACACUUGAAAUUUGAACUUGGGCCUCAUGAAGAUUUACUCUGAGCUCCGCCCCUGAUAUGCAAUAAAAUAUUAGUUUUGCUAGAGAAAUUGCCAAUUAUGUUUUUUUUUUUUGUAUUUUCCGCUUAGGGAAGAAGAAAUUUCCUACAACUAUUGUGGUGAAUAUAUUGUGAAUUUAUGACAGUUUAAUCUUUAGUUUGCCACUUGCUUAAAAUGAAAAAGGGAAAAGGGUAUUUAUAUCUCUAAGGUUUGGAGAAAUAGUCACCAACACUACAAGUUUUCUAAAAAGGACAUCAAGACUCCUUUUUGACCAUAAUACCCUUUAUCUUUAGUAUCUCGAAAAAUUUAACUUGCAAAUGAAUAAAUACAAAUAUUAUAUAAAUAAUGUAAUCUACGCUGUAGAUUAAUAAUAUUAAAAUAUUUGAAUAAAUUUAAAUAUGUAAAUUAAUAUAUUUAUUUAAUAAUAUAUUUGUAUUUAUUGUAGAGAUUUUAAAUAAAUAUUUGCAUUAAAUACAUUUUACAAUUAAAAAAGUCUCACAUACUAAUAAUGUUAAAAUUAUUAUUUUACAUAAUAAUUUAAAUUUUAAUACAUUUAUUUUUAAUAUUAUGUUUACAUUUAUCAUAAAAUUUACUUUAACAUAAUAAAAUAUAUUAAUAGAUUGUAAAAUAUUAAAAUAUUUUUAAAUAUUGAAAUUAUUUUAAAAUGUAUAAAUUAUUACAUUUAUUUUAAUAUUAAAAUCAUUAUGGGACUGAUUUUAUUCUCUCUUUUUUCUCAACAAAAUAUCCGACUGCAGAUGUAAUAAAUUACUAAUUACAAUUAUUUGAGUCCCACUCUAAAUUAGAUUUUGAAGUUUGUCCUGACAUAAUAAAGUUACAUUCUCAAAUGACCAAAUGAAUUAAUGAGUCUGACAAAAAGAUGUUGUCGGCCAAGUUGAAAAAUAUAAUAAAUAAAUUGUCAGGAGAUGAUUUUUUCUGAAAUUUCACUUUCAAGGUCCAGAACACAUUCAAAUUUCCGCUGAAAUUCAUAAUGGAUUCAUAUGAUCGGGCGAAAUUACACUAUACAAUUUCAUCAAUACCUAUUAAACGAUAAAAAAUUUAUUGAUUAUUUAUAAUUAAAAAAAAUCUAUCUACUAAGACUAUUCUAGAUCAACAAUUAAUAUAUUAUAUAUAACUUCAGAAGGUUCAUCGGUGUAUUGAUCUAAGCCUUUUGUAGCAGUUUAUAAAUAUUUUGUUGCUUAUAAUGUAAGAAAUUUUACAGGAGUUGAUGCUGAGUAGUCUGAAUAAGAAAAUUAAUUAUAUUGUAAGUUAUUGGGUAUUCAUAAUAAAAUAAACAAAUAAAAAAUGAAUAAAAAUUUAAAUACUUAAUUAAUUUUUAUCAAAUUCUUAUCAAAUAUUUAAAAUAUAUAUAAAAUCAAUUAAUUGAUGAUGUUGUUAAUUUUCAUGAUAUUUUUAAUAUUAUAUUAGUGAUUAUUAAAUUUAAUACAAUCAAUAAUGCUAUAAAUUAUUAAAUGGUUAAUUUUAUUGAAAAAUUAUCAAAUAUGCAAAUAAUGAAAAAUUAAUCUCAAGAGUUGGUAGAAGUAAAGUUCCAAUUUAAUCAGAUGAUAGAUAAUAAAUAAAAAUAAUUUUUAAGUAAAUUAUAAAUUAAAAAAUAAUUAAUAUUAAGUAUAAAUAAACAAUAAUGAUAGAAAUUAAAGUCUCAUAAAUAGAUAACUUUUUUUCUUUAAUUUUAUCCCAACUAAAAUCAUGUGUAAAUUAGAAUGAUUAAUCCCAUAAUUUUAGGAUGAAACUUAAAUUUAGUCCCCGAGUCCAAUUCAAUUAAGUUUAACAAACAUGAGAUAAAUAUUUAAUCACAAAAUUAGUCCAAUUUCAUACUUAAUCCUAGUAUAUGAACAUGGCCUGAUAAAAUAAUUUAGGUAAUAUGCUUCUAUGACUUACAAUUUAAAUAAAUUUGAGAAUUUAUAUAAGGGAUGGAAAAUUCAUAAUAAUCAUAACAUGUGCUAUCUUUUCUUCCUUUUCUUAAUUAAAUAAAAGAAAAAUAUUCAUCACAGAACCACUGCUGUUUAAAAUGACCCGAUGAUCGAUGAAGUCGCAUUCGCCUAUCUAAUAUUGCGCAAUCAGAUAAAUUCUCAAAUUUUAAAUGAAUUUAAUCUGCAAUUAUAUCUAUAACUACACAAUAAAGAUUAAAAAAUUUCAAAUUAUACUUGAGUUAAAAUUUAAUUCUUUUUUAUUGUUUAAAGUAAUUUAUUUAUAAUUAUUUUAACCCAAUUAGAUUUAUUUUUUUUAAUGCUUGUUCUAUGACAGAAUUGGUCCUCAAAGUUUAAUUAAGCUUGAGAUGGAUACUCUCAGCAAUUUAUUACCUAUUUUAUUAGAAUCUAAGAGGAAAAGAGAGUUGCGAUUUGUAUGUGUAGAAAGAAAAUGUCAAAACGAAAUGUUAAUGUCACUUGUAGAGAGAGAGUUGGGACUGAUGACCAUAUACCUUUUUCCGCCCCUAAUAAUUAGAGCUUGCUUGACGAUAGUGAAGAACUAAUGAGACUGAGGAUCUGCAAUUUAGUCAUGAAAAAUUAGUGACUAAAUACAACUAAAUUUCAGUUUUCUCUUUCUAAUUUCUUUGGGAUCCAGAAAAAAAAAAAAUCCCCCUCAAUUUUCUGUUUGCAAGGGGGUAGCUGUAAGCACAGUCUGAUUUUAUUUUCAGGGAAUAAUAUCGGUGAACCACCGUCGGGAAAAAUUUGAAGUCUAAACAGGUCAUUCACAGAUAAGGCCAAAGAGUAAAACAGGUCGUUCAUCGUGUGUUUGGAUUCCUUUCAUCUUAUUAAUUAUUGAAGACAAGAUGAAAACGCAACUAAUGUCAAUAUUUUAAUUUGGAAUGGGGGCCGUGUAUGGUGUAUAAAAUAGCAUUAAUUGUUGUCUGUGUUUGUUGUUUAAUAUAUAUAUAUAUAUAUAAGGGAAGUAAAUAAUUAAUGCUAUUUUAUACACCAUACAUGGCCCCAAUUCCAAUUAGGGUAAUUCAAUAAUUUAAUUUUUUUCAAGAUGACUUUCAUCUCAUUGGCAGGCCGGCUAAGACAUUAAUCAUGCCUUUCAUCUUAUGAAUUAUUGAAGACAAGUAGCUGUUCGACGCCUGCACUUUUCAAAUCUGAAGAGCAAUUAGACAAUAUUUCUAUUUCAAAUUGGGGCCACACUCCAAAAAAAUUGCAAUAAUUCUCUGUUUUAUACCUAAUAUUGCGCAAUCAGAUAAAAAAAGGGUCGGCUGCAUGAUUUUUCCAACUUUUGUUUUGUUUUUUCUCUUUUCCACGGGCAUGGGCCCCGACCACCACAAAAUAAUUUGAGAAUGUUAUAUUUAACAAUUCUCUUUUUGUCGUGACAUAGUGGACUAAAACGGAAUCACAACUUUUUCAAAUGACCAAAUGGCUUCGCCCUACCUGAUAAUAAAAGGCCAUAUAGAUGAGAAAUGGAUCCAUACGUUAAAGCUAAAUUGAAACAUAUAAUAAAUAAAUUGUCAGGAGAUGAUUUUUAUCAAAAAUUUCACUCGCACGGUCCCGACCAAAUACAAAUUUGUGAUGAUAUUCAUAAUGAAUUUAUACAAUUAGGCGAAAUUACUCUAUAUAGUUUCAUCGAUAUAUAUUAUACCAUUAAAAAUAUACUACUAUUUAUAAUAAAAAAAAUUUAUGACUAUUCUAAAUCGACUGUAUUAUAUUUGAACUCACAAGAUUCAUAGAUAGAUUGCACUGAGCUUUCUGUUGCAGUUUACAAAUAUUUUGUUACUAAUUAUCUUAAGAGCGGCAAGUAACUAAAUACAAAUGUAAGAAAUUUUACAAGUGCUGAUGCUGUGUACUCUGCAGAAAGCUAGCCCCAGACGGUGACUCCUGUGGGGACUCCUUCAAUUUGCAGCACAAAAGAACGUUCACAUUGACAUUGACUUGAGGGUAAAAAUUAAAUAACUCCUAUGGUAUAAGAAGAAUGCAAACAUGCUUGAAUGAACAUUCUCUCAGAAUACAUAAAAGCUACUUUCCUCUGAGCAUUUUAGCAAGAAAAGCAAUUGCUGCAUUUACCAUUUGAUCUAAUAUCAGAAUGGCUCAUGCGAUCGUUUCCUCUCUCUUGGACCAGCUGAAAUCCAUUGCUCAAGAUCAGGUGAAAGAAAAGUGGAGGCUUGUGACGGGUGUCGAACAAGAAGUGGGAAAGCUUACCACCAAUCUUCAAGCCAUUCAAGCUGUGGUGGAAGAUGCAGAGCAGAGGCAAAUGAAGCAGGACAAAGCUGUUACUUUUUGGCUGGAUCAGCUCAGAGACGCAUCCUACGACAUGGAAGAUGUGUUGGACGAGUGGAUCACUGAAACACGGAAAUUGCAGCUUGAUGAGGGAGGCGAUGAUGAUGAUGAUGAUGAUAACGACAGUGCUUUUGUUACUUUUUUGACGAAGGUAUGUUCCUUCUUUCCUGCUGCCUCAAACUGCUUUGGUGGUUUCAAACAACUCAGUCUUCGUCAUCAUAUUGCUGUCAAGAUUAGAGAAAUCAGUAAAAGGCUAGAUGAAAUUGCCACUCGAAAAGAUAGGUUUAAUUUUGUUGAGAAUGUGAGUAACAAUGUUAGGAAUCCAGAGCGAGUGCGAACCAUCUCCUUGAUUGAUGAGGGAGAGGUUUGCGGUAGAGUUGAGGAGAAAAAUGAGCUCUUAAACAAGUUGUUGUGUGAAAGUAGUGAACAACAAAAAGGCCUUCAUGUCAUUUCACUAGUUGGGUUGGGGGGUAUAGGUAAAACCACUCUUGCACAAUUGGCGUAUAAUAAUGAUGAGGUGAAAAGGAAUUUUGGCAAAGUUAUAUGGGUGUGUGUAUCAUACACUUUUGAGGAGAUUAGGGUCGCCAAAGCAAUCAUUGAAGGUCUAGGCGUGUCAGCUUCUGGUUUAAGCGAAUUCGAAUCUCUUAUGAAACAGAUUCAGGAAUAUAUUACGGGGAAGAAAAUUUUUCUUGUUUUAGAUGAUGUGUGGGAUGGAGAUUACAAAAAAUGGGACCCAUUCUUUUCUUGUCUAAAGAAUGGCCACCAUGAAAGUAAAAUUCUAAUUACCACACGUGAUAGGUCAGUUGCACUGCAGUUGGGAUCAAUAGAUAUUAUCCCUGUCAAGGAGUUGGGUGAAGGGGAAUGUUGGUUACUGUUUAAGCAGAUAGCAUUUCUACGUAGGUCCUUUGAGGAUUGUGAAAAAUUAGAACCAAUCGGGCGAAAAAUUGCAUGUAAGUGCAAAGGCCUGCCUCUUGCUGCAAAGGUAAUAGGGAAUCUCUUGCGCUCUAAAAGUACAGUAAAAGAGUGGCAAAGAAUUUUAGAGAGUGAAAUGUGGAAAGUAGAAGAGAUUGGACAAGGUAUUUUGGCUCCUUUGUUGUUGAGUUAUAAUGAUUUGCCCUCCAAUUCUAUGGUAAAACGGUGCUUCUCAUAUUGUGCUGUCUUUCCAAAAGACUACAAUAUGAACAAAAGGGAAUUGAUUAAUCUAUGGAUGGCUCAAGGUUACCUUAAUGCAGAUGAAGACGAAGAAAUGGAGAUGAUUGGAGAAGAGUAUUUCAACAUCUUAACUACGCGCUCUUUCUUUCAAGAAUUUCAGAAAAAUGACGAUGAUAUUAUGAGUUGCAAGAUGCAUGACAUCGUACAUGAUUUUGCUCAAUUUGUAAGUAGCAAAGAAUGUUUGUGGCUAGAAAUUAAUGGUACCAAGGAAUCAGUCAUAAACUCUUUUGGUGACAAAGUCCGUCACUUAGGGUUAAAUUUUCAAGGAGGCACUUCAUUUCCUAUGUCCAUUCAUGGACUUAAUAGAUUGCAUACCCUAUUAAUUUAUGAUGAAGGUCUUUUCAAUCCAUCUCUUAAUAAUAGCAUCCUUUCGGAGUUAUUUAGUAAAUUGGCAUGUUUAAGGGCAUUAGUUAUAAGGCAAUAUUACCUUUUAGGUUCGCAUCCUGAGGCAAAUUGGAUUAGAGAAAUUCCAGAAAAUGUUGGAAAAUUGAUACAUUUAAAAUAUCUUAAUUUGUCUGAAUUAGUCAUAGAGAGACUACCUGAGACUUUGUGUGAAUUAUAUAAUUUACAAAAGCUAGAUAUUAGGCUGUGCCGAAAUCUUAGAGAAUUGCCAGAGGGGAUUGGGAAGUUAAUGAACAUGAGGAGUUUACUGAAUGGUGAAACUCGUUCGUUGAAGUACAUGCCAAUAGGGAUUUCCAAAUUAACCAGUCUUCGAACAUUAGAAAAGUUUGUUGUGGGUGGAGGUGUUGAUGGUGGCAGCACGUGUAGGCUUGAAUCUCUGAAAAAUCUUCAACUCCUUCGUGAAUGUAGAGUACAAGGGCUGAGUAAUGUAUCGCAUGUAGAUGAGGCUGAGAGGUUACAACUUUACAAUAAGAAAAACCUCCUUCGUUUGGGUCUUCAGUUUGGUAGAGUCGUAGAUGGGGAAGGCGAAGAAGGGAGGAGGAAGAAUGAGAAAGAUAAACAACUUCUUGAAGCCUUACAGCCGCCUUUGAAUGUAGAGACAUUAUGGAUUGUAUACUACGGAGGCAACAUUCUUCCCAAAUGGUUGACUUCACUAACCAAUCUAAGGGAAUUAAAACUUCUCUCCUGCGUUAACUGUGAGCAUUUGCCUCCUUUGGGAAAAUUGCCUCUGGAAAAACUCGAACUAUACAAUUUGAAAAGUGUAAAAAGAGUGGGUAAUGAGUUUUUGCGAAUAGAAGAAAGCAGUGAGGAUGGCCCGUCUUCUUCUUCAUCAUCACCAUCAGUUAUUGCCUUCCCCAAAUUGAAAUCACUCAUAAUUGAGGAAUUGGAUGAAUUGGAAGAGUGGAAUUACAGGAUUACGAGGAAGGAAAACAUCUCCAUCAUGCCACGUCUUUCUUCCUUGGAAGUUCGUUCUUGCAACAAAUUGAAGGCGCUGCCGGAUUACCUUCUUCAGACGACGGCACUGCAGGAAUUGACAAUUUGGGAAUGUCCCAUUCUGGAAAACCGUUAUAGAGAGGGGAAAGGAGAAGACUGGCAUAAGAUAUCUCACAUUCCCCACAUCCAGAUGUCACCCGACGGUAAUUUCUCCUCCUCUGAUUUACUCUGUUGUUGCUUGCAAUGAAAUUAAUAAAAAUAUUUAUAUUUUGAAUUAAAAUUCUGUAUAUUGCCAAUGUCUGAUGGGAAUAUAUAAUAUUUUCUAAUAUUUUAAUUUACGUAUUGAAUUCAAUUAUUUACUUGAACCAUUAAUUUAAUGGGUCACUCUAUGAUAUUGUUAUAAAAAUUGUAAAAUCAAUCAUGGUAUAAAUAUGUACUGUUAGAUUUAAUCAAUAGUUCAAAAAAUUAGAAAGUUAGUUAGGAUAAUAUUUUAAUUUUAGUUAUUUAAAAUUUAAAUUUCCUAGUUAUCAAAUCAGUUAAACUUGUUUUCUAAAGAUUAAAUAAUUAAAAAAAACAAGUGUAGUCUGAUGAAAUUUCUAUAUUUUCUUUUAAAAAAAUUGUAGUCUUUUGUAAAAUUUCAUACAACAUCAUAGAAAAUCCUAAUAUAUUUUAUUUUUUAAUGCACGAAAAUUUGCUAUGUGCAACUUCCUGAGAGACAAAAUCUCUGUGAUACAUUUGCGGAAAUGUUGAAAACUAAAUCAUCAAUUUUAUCUUGUAUAAUGAUAAUCGUAUUUUUUUAUAUAUAAUUUAUGUGACAUUAAUUCUUUAAAGUAAUGGGGUAAUUGUUUUUACAACAUUAGCCCACUUUGUUUUAUUUCAUACGAGUUUAAUUAUGUUCACCAGGGAUUCGAGAAAAAAUCAGAAUAGCCCUCCUUGUUCAUCAGGCGGGAUCUGCUCUAUUGGAAGAGUUUAAAGCAGUUGAUACGUCUUGAAAAUUGUUAUUGCGGAUGAAUUCAUUCCUGAAGACGAGUAUCCAAAGGCGUAUUUUCAUAAACUUCCUUUGUUAACAAAUGUUCCAACGCUUGCUGUAGUAACAAUUUCAUCGCUUGCAUCUCUCGGGUGCACCAUGUUCAUGGGUUAGAAAAAGCAUUUGUGGUGAAGCUUCAAAGCUUGUAAAAUGGCUGUGAAAAGGCACAUUCAAUUCGGUAUGCUUUGGCGCGGUCUCCUAAUGCUAAUAUUAUAUUUUAUAUAGCAAUCUUAAUAUGCAAUAAAUCAUUGUGCCCAAUUUUCUGCCUGUCGAAGAGACACAACAUGGAAGUCCUCAUCAAACUCUGAGACACCUAAGAACUAGUAGGAGGUGGUGGCGGGGAUUUGUCCCCGCCAUACCUUAAAGGUUAGGUAUUUAUCCAACUACACCCCCAUAGUUUAAAAUUUCUUUUAUAUACCUUUUUCAAUGUGCAAUUACAGAAUUACCCCAAUUUAAUUCUUCAAAUUUCAAAAUCUACCUUCACGAGCUACCAUACACAACGCCUGCUGCUGCAAGUUCAUCCACCACAUUAAAGGCUACAAAAUCACCGAAUUAAAGGCUGAAAAUUCACCAAACUAAAGGUCAUUAACCACAUUUACACUUGAUUUUUACUUUAUAAAGAGAAUUUAUGGUGCAUAAUUGUUAGGGUUAUAUGCAUUAGGGUUUUAAAAAACAAAUUACCCACAUGAUUUUGGUCAUUAUCUUGCUUAUUUACUGAUAAUCUUUCUUGCUGGUAAUGUAAUGAAGCUUCUUGAACUUGUGGAUUUGAAAUUGAAGAGAGUGAUUUCAUGGCUCUUUAAUAAUGGUUGUGGGAGUUCCUAAUUAAAUAUUCAUAGAGAAUUGGAUGAAACAAAUAUUAUCCUUAUGAAUACUCGGUUAUGGCUACACUAGUUUAUGCAUUAGAUCUUUAUAUAAUUUUACUUGUUGUUUGUAGUUGAACUUCAUCCAUGGGAAUUAUAUAUCAAUUUUCUUCAGCUGCGUAUGCAUUCCUUAUGCUACAAUCUGGGUUUUCUCUAUUAUUUGCUAUAGAACCUUUAUUUUGCAAUUCUAAUUUAUUAACAAUUUGCUAUUUGUUUCAGCAUAAAACUAUUGAUAGUACACUAUUAAUAAAUGUGUUUUGAACGACUUGUGAAUUUUGAAACAAUGUUCGAUCAUUUUAUUAAUUUGUCUCAUUGUGAGGCUAUUGACUGAAGAAGUCACAUAGCAUUUAGGAUUUGAUAUUAUUGUGCAGCAAAUGUUGUUGUAUAUAUUUCCAACUAGUUAACUAUUGGAGAAUUGCCCUUUAAUACACUCCUCCUAGACUUGUUUUUAGUUUUUGACAAUUAUACACAUACUUAAUAGCUUAUUAAUCAGAUUGAACUAAUGAAAAUUAAUUGUUUGAGUGUUAUGGAAAAAUUCAACAUUUUCUUUGAAUAUUUAUACUUUAUUUGGAAUUGUUAACAUACUUGAUACAUAAAGUUUGAUUUUUAUGUCAUGUGGCAGUGAUGGUUUAUUUCUUAUUUUUGUUUAUAACUCAUUUAAAAAUUAUUUGAGUUCAUAGUUAUUGGCAAUAUAUUUUAAUUUGAUGGGUUUGUUCUUGAAAUAAUAUAGUUAUGCUGAUCCUGUAGAUACUAGUUGUAAGAAAGUCAUGUUAUCUUAUAUAUAGAACAUUUUUAAGUUGUAAAACAUUCUCAUAUCUGUUUGCUUUUAUGUUGUGUGAUCAUUUAAUAGAUUGAUAAUAUAUUACGACAGUGAUAAUAAGUUUGAAGUAUUAUUUUUACUACAAACUGAAAUUAUAUUUUUUCGACUUAACAACAACAAUGGUGAUAUUUAACGAUUGAUUUAUAUGAAUUUUUUUAGUGGUGAUUGUAGAGCAUUUUUGUUGCAGUUCUUGGAGGUCCUGGCCCACUGACUUGAUGUCAAUUUAUAUUGCCAACAAGAUGAUGUUGCACAAUUUCAAAAAGCAUUAGCUGUCAAAUUAUUUUGGAGUAGGUCUUGGAAAAAAAAACUACGUAGUCUCCCACUCUUAAAAACUUUAUUGAUGUGUCAUUUUUUGGAUUACUUAUCAUGAGAUGUAAUGAUUACAAUGGGAUGUUGUUGAUAUUUGAUAUCAUUAAAGUUAAUUUGACAUCAUACAUAUGUUUUUUUUAUUAAGUAUAUUAAUGACAGAGAAGAUAGUUUUAUAUAAUGUAUGUGAUGUAAUAGAAUGGUCAUAUAUGCUCAAGAAAUGCUCAACCCAAAUACAUGACUGCAGUCAAGUAUUUUCACAGAUACUCGACCGCAGUCAAGUAUUUGUAAACAUACAUGACCAGCUGGUAUUUGCAUUGGUUCACGACUGCAGUCAGAUAUUUUCACAGAUACUCGACUGCAGUCGAGUAUUUUCAAACAUAUAUGACCAGCUGGUAUUUGCAUUGGUACACGACUGCAGUUGGGUAUUUUCACAGAUACUCGACUGCAGUCGAGUAUUUUCAAACAUAUAUGACCUGCUGGUAUUUGCAUUAGUACACGACUGCAGUCGGGUAUUUUCACAGAUACUCAAAUGUAGUUGAGUAUUUACAAACAUACAUAACCAGCUGGUAUUUGCAUUGGUACACGACUGCAGUAGGGUAUUUUCACAGAUACUCGACUGCUGUCGAAUAUUUCCAAACAUAUAUAACCUGGUGGUAUUUGGAUUGGUACACGACUGCAGUCGGGUAUUUUCACAGAUACUCGACUGCAGUCGAGUAUUUGCAAACAUACAUGACCAGCUGGUAUUUGCAUUGGUACAUAACUUUAGUCGGGUAUUUUCAUAAAUAAACGACAAUAGUCGAGUAUUUAAUAAAUUCACAUUUAUAGUUGAGUACAAUCAGAUAUACACGACAAUAGUCGAGUAAGAGCCAAAAUACACGACUGUAGUUGGGUAAGUGGACAUAGAACAUAAAAUUACCUAAAACAUUCAUUAUAAUGACAACAAAAUCAAUAUAGGCUUUGACAUAUUAUACUUCAAUUUAAUAAAUAACAAAAGUAAUUGUGAAUCAAACAACAUAGAUCCAAUACAUGUUCAAAUCAUAAAUAAGUCGUAAUAUAAUCGAAGUUGCUGCACAAUCAUCAUAAUUAUUUGCAUGCUCAACCCAAACACUCGACCCAUGUAUUAUAAGGCCCCGUUCGCCUCCUUUUGAAAACAACAUAAGCCACACAACAUGUUUAUCCAGCUGCAAGACAAAAAAGGUAGAAAUUUAUCAACUAACUAUUUUAGAUAUUAAAGAAAUUAAAACAACAAAAAUGACAAGUAUGUAAGGUUCAUAGUAGUAUGUGUGCUUGUUUUUGUUUCAUUCGGUCUAACUACGGGCUCAUUGUUAGACAAUGAGAUUGGUGCAUUGCAAGUUAGUCGAUUAUAUCAUUGAGAACCACACCUACCGUACUUACGGCGUAACUUUUCUUCACCUUGUGAUGCUAUCAUAAUUUCUUAUGAUUCUAAAGAAUAAUAGGCACACAUACUGAAGUCACUUCAUGUAAUAAUACAACAGAUGAUUAUACAAAAAAAAAAAAAUCAAACAAGGUAUAUUAUGAAGUGUGGAACUAUCUGUCUAUUUACACGACAGUUGUCGUGUAAAUAACUAGUUUACACGAUAAUAGUUGUGUAACUUGCUAAAAUACACAACUAUAGUCUAGUAAACAGUUAUAGAAUAUGUUUAGUAAAAAAAUGUAAUCUUUAUACUAACAGAAUGCUAUGUGUCAUAACAACUACUAUAUCUUUCAAUCUUGCACAACUGCUAUCGUGUAAAUUCAUACAUACAUACAUGACAAAAGUCAUACAUACAUGACAAAAUGUUGGGAUCUCAUAACAGUUGGAACAUUUUACAUAUAUGUACAAUUAUAAUAUGUAAGUUCAUACGUACACGAUAGUAGUCGUGUAACUUAUUAAAACACACUACUAUAGUCUAGUAAUAGUAAAAUGAUAUAUCUAAUCAAAAUAAUAUAUUUUUUGCACCAAUAAAAUGAUAGGGUGUCAUAAUAAUUUGAAUCUUUUGCACAUUUUCACGACUACAGUCGUGUAAAUCCAUACAUACAUGACUGUUGUCGUGUAAAUCCAUACAUACACGACUACUGUCGUGUAUGUCGGGGUGCAGAACAAAAUUUUGGCAGCAACUUCAGGUUUUAACGAAUGUAGUUAUAAAAUCCAUCAAAUAACAGUCAUAUGAUGCAAAUAUAAUGAAAAUGUGAGUUGCUUUAUUGUUUAUCACAAACCAAACAAAACCCUAAAAAUAAUAUAAUGUCAACAAAAUAAAUAAAUAACACAAAAUAAAAAUAAAGUUUCAAAUACCUUAUUCAUGUGAUGAAUAAUGCACCCAGCUGCAAACUAAAAUCUCAGUGCAUUGGCUGUUCGUGAGUGAUUUUGAGUGUGGAGUGAGUUUUUGUUGUGUGGAGUUAAAAAGAGUGAGAAGUAAAGAGUGUUGGAGGUGAGUUGUGUGUGUUUUAUAUUUUUCUUUAGGGAUAUUUUAGACAAUGUACCAUAUAAAAAGGUAUAUCUAGAUAAUUUUCAAACAUGGGGUAUAUUUAACUAAAUACCCUACUUUUAAGGCAUCUUUAAUUAAAAACCCCAGGUGGUGGUAUUCGCCUGGUGUUUCCUGGCAAGUAUGGUUCACUGAUACAUGGAUUCUUUUCUUGAUGUCUAAGUACUAUAUGUGAUACAACGUUGUAUAUUCCAAUUUUUCUCCAGUUAAAUUCUAGUGAGUUAGGAAAUUUAAUUUUGUUUUAGCUAUGAAUUAUUUCCUAGAUAAUAAUAAUUGCCAUGUUCCUUUGGAGUCUUAUUUACUCCUACUUUAGGAAAUUCUAGUGAGUUAGGAAAUUAUGCACCGUCAACCCGUUUUUUCCAACUUUUUCAAAAAUACACAAUUCUUAUUUGACUGACUUGAUUUUUCUGACAUAAUUUUCUCCCAUUUCUAUAUUAUCAACGUUGAGUGCAUGUAAUCCACAAGUCUGAUUGAGCCAAAAGUCUAAUGACACUCACGUCCAAAGAUGCCGUUAUCACAAAGCCCUGGAUAAUUAAAGAGAUCAUUGUUCGAAAGAAAAGAAUGAUUUGUUGGUAUGAAAUUACGUUAAAAUGCAUAUAUCACUUUUUUUUUUGGCGUGGGUGAUGGCUUCGUUUAAUGACAGUUGGCAGACAAUGAGUCAUCUUUUAAUUUUAGUUUUGAUUUAUUAGAAAAUAUUAAUUUUUGUAGUUUCAGUAGAUGAAAUUUUGAAUCAAAUAUUAAUAUCGUUAAAGUACGAAGCUCAAUAUUUGCUUAAAUCAUAAAAAAAAAUAAUUGCUUUACAUUAAAAAAAAAAAGUGAUCACUUGAUUUAACUUCCUUAACUAAAUUUACGAUUUAAAAUCCAAAAUAGAAAAACGAAAACAAUUUUUGGAGUCACACUCGGAGUUUUAAAUUGACAUGAAAAAAGAGCUUAUUAUUGAUUAUCUUUUUCCGAAAAUUUAAGCUAAGAUAACAAUAUGUCCAAAAUACCCUCCGCAUUAUCCCAAAACUUUAUAAACUCCCCCGUUCCUCUCAACAUCAUCUCUUCCAAAUCUUUCUCCCCCAAAAAACCAGCCAUGGCUUCAUAUUCAAUUACCGCAACAAUCCAAUAUUGGCUAUAAACCACCCCCAAAUCCUCAACUUCACAUGGACUCAGAACCAAACACUAGCUUCUUCCCCUCACUUCCUCAUUCUCUCCAUCCUCACUUACCUCUCCCUCACAUUCAUCCUCUACCACACAUCAACAUCAACAUCACCACCAUCAUCACCUUUCAUUGGACCCCACAUCCUCAAGCCCAUCACAGCCGUCCAUAACCUCACCCUCCUCCUCCUGUCCGUCAUCAUGGCCGUUGGUUGCACUCUCUCCAUCAUCCUCCAUUUACCCCACCUCGAUUGCACCCUCUGUUUCCCCCCUACCAUUUCUCCGUCUGGCCCCCUCUUCUUCUACGCUUACAUCUUCUACCUCUCCAAAAUACUCGAAUUCUUAGACACCCUUUUGAUCAUUUUGUCAAACUCCGACCAACGGCUCAUGUUCCUCCACGUCUUCCACCAUGCAACCGUCGUCGUUAUGUGCUUCCUUUGGUUACAGACGAAGCAGUCUUUAGCUUCUUCCCAAAUUCAUCAAUGAACCCCAAAACCAGACUAAUCAUUAAAAUUAUUAACAACCAUUUGCUUGGAUCAAUGUAUACUUGGCAUGUCUAUGGGUUUAUAUAUUAUUAGAGCACUACUACUGAUUACAUUGGUUAUUUUUAUUUUUUUAAAAAUAGAUUAGAGGAUGUUUUUCAUUAAUGACACACAUAAAGUUUGAAUUAGUUAUAUUUUAGAAAUAGUAGGGAUAUAAGUGAUAUAUCUUUCCAACAUAAAUAUAUCAGUAACAUAAGUUAUUCUAUAAUUAACAGGGGUAUUAUCGUAUUUUAGUGAGUCAAUAUUGGUUGAUAGUUAAAUUUAACAGAUUUUAGAGAGUAAAUUGAAGUUUUUAUUUUUUAUUUUUGAGUAAAUUAAAAUAUGUAAAUCUCAUAAGGGGUUAAAAUAUAAUUUAUCCAAAAAUUAGUGUUAAAAUGUUAUAGAUGAGUGUAUAUUAAGAUGUUCAAAGUAUUAGAACAUAAAUAAUCUUAGUUUUAAUAAAAUUUUGCCACAUAGUGAAUAUUAUCCUCAACCUCAAGAGAAACCUAUCAAUAAAAUAUACAAAAAUAGAAUGCAUUAGUACAUGUCAAUAACAAGACCAAUUAGAUCAUGUCAUAUUUGUUAUGUAGUUAUUUAAGCUAAUAGAGUAAGAAGUCCCAAAUACAUGUACAUCAUAUCUUGGUAAAGAAAUCGGUUCUACCCGAAAUACUUCUUUGUAUUGAAAUCAAUGAUGAUUGCUUGUUUAAAUCAUGAAAGUUGAAAUAAUUUUGUAAAUAAUUUCAUUCUUUAAUUUACGGUAUAUAAAUAAAUUCAAAAAAUGUUAAUUUCUCCCAUACUUUUAGGACUAAAAAAAUAACAAAAUGUCUUAACAUAUUUAAUGGUUAUAUAUAAAUCAUCCGUACAUAUUUUUCUUGAGAGAAGCUCAAUUCGAUAGACAAUGCUCCCCUUAAUUUUCUUUUCUAGUUAGAUAAAAGAACAAAAGAAAUUGAUUACAAGAAUUCACGACGAAGUCACCUUGGUCUACAUGAUAUAUAUUACAGGGCUAAGCUUCUUUUAAUGCCAAACUAGAAUAACAAACUUUAAUUUACUUCUUAAAGGGUAAAAACAUCAAUUUGUCCUUAUAUUCGUUCAAAAGAUAAGGAAUACACACACACACACAUACAUAUUGUCUUCUUAAUGUAAACAAUUUAAAUUGAUGUUUCACGUUUCUAAAAAAAAAAUUAAAGACUGUCAUUCUAAGUAGGAGGUAAAUUUUUAAAAAAAAAACAUGUGUUCAUAUGAAAGAUGUGCAUUUUACAAUAAUUAAUAAACAAAAAGGGUAGUCAUAUUUUCACCCUGCAAUUUUUGUAAAUCCAUCCCCACUCCCAAGAAAUAAUUACAAUAAAUUCACAUAACUUUUUUAAAACUCAAAUAAAGAAAAAUUUUGGAGAUUUAAACUAUUAUAUACAAGAGGAUUGGAGUAAACAUUUUUCAUGCAGUAUAAAAAGAAUGUGACAACUCCUUUUCUUUCGGUAUUUUCGCAACAAAAGCACGCUUAAUAACUCAUCAAAUUAUUUCUCCUUUUCUUUGAUCGCUUGAUUCGCUUCCCCUCUCCUGGAGCUGCUGAACUCCUUUGUUGCUGAUGAAGGGAACAAGUGAGGCUUUUCAAAAGACCACAAUAUGUAUAAAGACAAACUAAUUACACUAUCAGUGGCUCAAGGUUACCUUAAUGCAGAAGAGGGCAAAGAGAUGGAGAUUCGAUUCGAUAAUAGUAGUUUAUUUUAAUUUUUAUUCAUUUGAUUUCAUAGCAGUAAUUUUUAUUUUCAUUUUUUGCUGAAAAUUGGUAAAAACGAACUAAAAUGAGAUGAUUACAUUAAAACAAUCUUCAAUGACUAAAGUAAUUUGAAAAAAUAUAAAUAAAAGUAAACAAGCUCAAAAUUUAUCCCUAAUCCGAACAUUAUCCGAAUUCAGCCUAAUUGACCCAAAUCUAAUUUUAAUCCAAACUUGACAUGGCCCGCAUAUAAUUAUAAUCCGAUCAUAACCAAACUCAACCUGAAUUUUUAAUUCAAUACGAUCCAAUCCAAAUAUUCCAACCCAAUCAAAUUGAAACUUGAUCGGGUUGAUCCGAACCUGAAUUUGCCACUUCCGGAGGAGACCAUGACCCUAAAGGCUUUGAAAUAAUCUUUGCGGUUUCUUAAUGAAAGACUGAUUUGACCCUAGAAUACAUGAUAUAUAAAUUUCAGACAUUAUAUUCUGUGAAAUAAAGUCAAAGUAAACUGGUUGUUUUAUUUGUUAUUAAUUAUUUUUCAUUAUGACAAAAUGAGAAAUAGACUUUAUUAAAAGUUUAAUAAAGUUUGGGCCUAACUCCUUGAUUUUUAUUUUUUUAAUUAUUUUUCAUUUUGUUUUUUACUUGCAACAUUAGCUUUAAUUAUCAAUCAGUCUCCAAAUCAAAAUGACUGCAACCUGUAGCUACAAGCAAAAUUCUCAGAAUUUGAAAUUUCUAACGACUACAUAAUAGCUAUAAAUAGAAAAAUCAUCUAAAAUUAAUCCUCCUUCAGAGGCAGAUUAAAUUCUUAGUAAUUUCAUAUAAUUUCAUUUCAUCAGAACAAUUUUUCAAGAGCAAUUUUAUAAAUGGUUGUCGAAAGCUUUAUCCCUUAAUCAUAUUUCACGUAUUUUCUUUGUAAUAUGAGGCGUGUCCAUAGACCAUAGUAUGAUAUUUAUUGUAAUUAAAAUCAUUAUGGAACUGAUUUUAUUCUUUUUUCUCAAACAAAGUAUCUAACUGCAGAUGUAAUAAAUUACUAAUUGCCAUUAUUUGAGUCGCGCUCUUUGGAUUAGAUCUUGGAGUUUCAAUAGACCAAAUGAAUUAGUAAGAUAAUGGCUUUUGCUUUUGUCUACCGGAUAAUAAAACUUAUCCGCCAUAUAGACAAGAAAUGGAUCGGAUCCAUAUGCUAUCGCUAAAUUGAAAAAUUUACGUGGAGUUUUAUUGUAAGACAUUUUUAUCUGAAUAGAAAAAGUAAAAUCUCUUUAAUUUUAUCUAAAUGAUAAAAUAUCUGAAUAGAAAAUCAGUUUUCUUCUCACAAAUACCCUCAUUAAAUAUAUUUAUUUUCUACUUAGCUAUUAGAUGUCAUAUUAGAAUUUCCUUUGAUCUCAGAUUUUACUUGGUAUUAAAUACUUAAUAUGCGUUCAAUUGGAAUUUUAGACAAAUUCUUUUGUCAUUAGAUAACAACUUUUUUUACUGAAUUUGAUGUUUAUACAGAAACAGUCAAGUCCUUGUUGGCUGAAAUUGGCAUUUCUCUUGAUUUGGUGUGAUAACCAAAGUGCAGCUGCCUUAGCAAGUAAUCCUAAAUUCCACUCCCGAACUAAACACAUAGAACUUGAUGUUCAUUUCUUGCGAGAAAAGGUUAUUUAUGUUCCAAGAACUUAAAUUUAACUCUAAUAAAAGCUUCCAAGUUAGUUAUGUUCCAAGUUCUCAUAACUCAGCUGAUAUCCUUACUAAAGCUUUAGCUUAUCACCCUUUUCAUUAUCUGAGAGACAAGCUCACCCUGACUUCACUAGGCUGAGCUUGAGGGGGGAUGUUAAGAGUAUAAGCUGAAGCUGCUGAGCUGGCUGGUGACGUGCUGAAGGUGCUGAGUUGACUGAUGUUUUGUAACUAAGUUGCUGAUCUUGAUUGGGCUGUUAUUUGCACUGAAUAAGUUGUAACGAAUUGUCCAACUGGCUUGUUAUGAUUGGAAGGCUAAUUAGUUUGUUAAUAUUGCAGCUUUGAGCUCUGUUUCUGUAAUCAGUUUGAGUGUGACUAUAAAUAGUGACUAGUACGCUCAUAAUGUAUGAUUUCAGCUUUAAUCAAUAAGAAUCUGUGAUUGUUCCAGAAACUUCAUAGUCAAAUUUUCUUUCUUAAUUUUCUUUCACUUUCUCUCGUGCCAAACACCUUAUUGAUUCAAAAAAAACUCCGUCCAACGGCUCACGUUCCUCCACGUCUACCACCAUGCAACCGUCGUCGUAAUGUGCUACCUUUGGUUACAGACGAAGCAGUCUUUGUUUCGUAUGGCACUUGUCACCAAUGCAAGUGUGCACGUGAUCAUGUACGGGCACUAUCUAUUGUGUGUGAUGGAGUUGCGGCCAAAGUGGAAGAGAUUGGUCACUCAUGAUUGUCAGAUUGUUCAAUUUGUGUUUAGUUUUGUUGUUUCGGUUUUGAUGCUGUAUUAUCAUUUUACGGGAUUUGGUUGGUCUGGGAUUUUGGGUUGGUGCUUCAAUGCUGUGUUUAAUGCUUCUCUCUUGACACUUUUUGUUAAUUUUCAUUCCAAGAGCUACGCUAAGAAAAAGCAGGGAUGAUCAGAACAAAUAGUGUGUUGUGAUUGUUUUGUGUGUGUGUAUGGUAAUACAUGUCAUUUGUCACCAUAUUUGUUUAGUCUCUCCCCUUUUAGGUUCCCUCUCACACACAAAAAAUUAGGAUUUGUAUUUUGUAAACUAAUAUUUUUCAUUUUGUUAAUGUAUUAAUUAUUAUUAUCUACGUUUAUGUGAUAGGGCACAUGCCACAUAAACUAAAAUUAUCUCUCGAUUAGUAAGAGUAGAAUAAAUAUCUCUCUAGUAUUAUGCAAGGGUAGAAAUUUGGGUUGUACCAUGUUAGAAUUAUCAAGGAUAGUUUUGAUAGAAUUCUAAUUGUAAUAUAUGAGUGUAUAAAAAAAAAUGAACAGUAAUGAAAGAUGUUUAGGUAAGGACUAUCUUGGAAUAGAAUUUUGAUUGUAAUAUAUCAAUAUAUAAAAAGAAAUUUAUGAAAAAUGUUUAACAAGGACUAUUUUGAUAUUUUAAUGAGUAGUAAAAAUUAAUGUUAAAAUUUGAUAGAACAUAUAUAAAUAAUCCUAGCUCUAAUAAAAAAAUUAGAUCAUGCAAGAAGUAAUUUUUUUAAAAAAAAUAAAAAAAGGACAAAUGAUGAAACCCACGUCUAAAGAUGCCGUUGUCGCGGAGGCCUAGAUCUCACUACACCCCAUCCCCUUCUACCAUAUUUUAUAAUUGAAGAGGUCAUUAUUGAAUUGAAAAAUUAUGAUUCAAAAAUCCAAAAAUAGAAAAAGAAAAGCAAUUGUUGGAAACACACUCGGAGUUUUAAAUUGACAUGAGAAAAGAAUAUAUUCAUCAACCUCAUACGUUAAAGAUGCGACGAGUUUAAGGAUAUAUUCCUAACGUGUGGGAAUUUAAAGAUGUUACUACAAAACAUGUGUUCGUCGGUGGAGUAGAAUCAGGGAAAUUAAAGAUGCUACUACAACCACUAACGGGUGGGUGGAGAUAAGCAUAACUUUUUUCAUCAAAUGCCAAAUCCCCCCAGGUGGAGAGUGGGGACUCCUUCGCAUAAAUGUUGAUAAAAUUUUGACUAUGAUGUUAUUAGAAAUUAGGGAAAACUUAUGGUGCAACUGUGAUAUCGUGUCAUAGUUGUAUCCAGCCGUUGGAUGUCAAUGGACUCUACCCAUACAAGUGUAUCCAACGGCUGGAUGUAAUUAUGGCACGGUACCACAGUUGCAUCGUAGUCGGACCCUAAAAAUUAAGAUAUUCUCUUUCUACGUAUGUCUGCACGAAAUAAUAUGCAAAUAUAGUAUUUUAGUUUAUUAUUAAUAGUUUUACAAUAAUAAAAAUCAUUUUGAUAGACUGGAAAAUGUCAUAUUCGCAUUUUAUUUUGUACGGACUUCUGCGAGAAAGAACAUAUAUAUAUAUAUAUAGAGGAACGUGUAUUUAAGAUUUAACUAGUGUGAAGUUGGGAAAUUUUUUUUUUGAACCCAGGCUAAAAUUAUUUCAAUAAAUUUUGAUCAUGGAGACUAAUAAGAUUUUUUUAGUUAUAUUUAUUAAUUUUUUAGGGACUAAUAAAUUUUGAUCAUGGAGACUAAUAAGAUUUUUUAGUUAUAUUUAUUAAUUUUUUAGGGACUAACAUGAAUAUUAAUAAUUUUAUUGAGAUUAUUAAAAAAACAAUGUGCUAUUUUACAUCUAUGACUUUUCCAAUCUUUUUUUCUUUCGUUAUUUAUUCCUUUGUGAAUUUCAGUUAAUGCUUGAUAUUAUUUUUUUGCUCAUUUUUUAAAGUAGUAAUUAAAUCUGAACCCUUACAGUAGAAGAUUAUGAAAAAGUAAAGACACAAAAAUCAUAAAAAUCAUUAGUAGGUCCAAAUUUGUGCUAUUUUCAUACAUAACUUGAGAAUAUUUAUAAUUACGCAUCAGAACUAGUGGAGUAGAAUCAGGGAAAUUAAACAUUCUACAAUCAUUAACGUGUGGGGUGGGGUUAAGCAUAAACCUUUUCUAUGCAGUAUAAAAGAAUGCAAUAACUCCUUUUCUUUCAGUAUCAUCGCAACAAAAGCACAUCUAAUAACUCUUCAGAAUUCUCGUCUUCUUUGUCAGAAUGGUUGAUGCGAUCGUUUCCUCUCUCCUGGGGCAGCUGAGCUCUGUUGCGGCUGAUGAAGUGAAACAGCAGGUGAGGCUUGUGACUGGUGUCCGACAAAAAGUGAAAAAGCUUACCAGCAAUCUUCAAGCCAUUCAACUUGUGCUGGAAGAUGCAGAGAAAAGGCAAAUGCAGGACGACAAAGCUGUUACUUUUUGGCUGGAUCAGCUCAAAGGCGCAUCUUACGACAUGGAAGAUGUGUUGGAGGAGUGGACCACUGCAAGGCUCAAAUUGCAGAUUGAGGGCCUUGACGAUGACAAUGCUCUUCCUCUUGCUCCUCAUAAGAAGAAGGUACGCUCCUUCUUUCCUUCUGCCUCAAACUGCUUCGGUAGUUUCAAAAAACUCAGUUUUCGUCAUGACAUUGCUGUCAAGAUUAGAGAGAUCAAUAAAACGCUGGAUGAUAUUACCUCUCAAAAAGAUACGUUUAAAUUUGUUGAGAAUGUGAGCAACAAUGUCAAGAAGCCAGAGCGAGUGGGAACCACCUCCUUGAUUGAUGAGGGAGAGGUUUGCGGUAGAGUUGAUGAGAAAAAUGAGCUCUUAAGCAAGUUGUUGUGUGAAAGUAGUGAACAACAAAAAGGCCUUCAUGUCAUCUCACUAGUUGGGUUAGGGGGUAUAGGUAAAACCACUCUUGCACAACUAGCCUAUAAUAAUAAUGAGGUGAAAAGAAAUUUUGAAAAAGUUAUAUGGUUGUGUGUAUCAGACACUUUUGAGGAGAUUAGGGUAGCCAAAGCAAUCAUUGAAGGUCUAGGCGUGUCAGCUUCUAGUUUAAGCGAAUUCGAAUCUCUUAUGAAACAGAUUCAGGAAUAUAUUACGGGGAAGAAGUUUUUUCUUGUUUUAGAUGAUGUAUGGGAUGGGAAUUACACUAAAUGGGAACCAUUCUUCCUUUGUCUAAAGAAUGGCCACCAUGAAAGUAAAAUUCUAAUUACCACACGUGAUAGGUCAGUUGCACUACAGUUGGGAUCAAUAGAUAUUAUCCCUGUCAAGGAGUUGGGUGAAGGGGAGUGUUGGUUACUGUUUAAGCAGAUAGCAUUUCUACGUAGGUCCUUUGAGGAUUGUGAAAAAUUAGAACCAAUUGGACGAAAAAUUGCAUGUAAGUGCAAUGGCCUGCCUCUUGCUGCAAAGGUAAUAGGGAAUCUCUUACGCUCUAAAAGUACAGUAAAAGAGUGGCAAAGAAUUUUAGAUAGUGAAAUGUGGAAAGUAGAAGAGAUUGGGCAAGGUAUUUUGGCUCCUUUGUUGUUGAGUUAUAACGAUUUACCCUCCAAUUCUAUGGUAAAACGGUGUUUCUCAUAUUGUGCUGUCUUUCCAAAAGACUACAAUAUGGAUAAAGAGGAGUUGAUUAAUCUAUGGAUGGCUCAAGGUUACCUUAAUGCAGACGAAGACGAAGAAAUGGAGAUGAUUGGAGAAGAGUAUUUCAACAUCUUAGCAACACACUCUUUCUUUCAACAGUUUGAAAAAGAUUAUGACGAUGAUGAUAUUAUGAGUUGCAAGAUGCAUGACAUAGUACAUGAUUUUGCUCAAUUUGUAAGUAGCAAAGAAUGUUUGUGGCUAGAAAUUAAUGGUACCAAGGAAUCAGUCAUAAACUCUUUUGGUGAGAAAGUCCGUCACUUAGGGUUAAAGUUUGAAGGAGGCGCUUCAUUUCCUAUGUCCAUUCGUGGACUUGAUAGAUUGCGUACCCUUUUAAUUUAUGAUAGAAGUCUGUCUCUUAGUAGUAGCAUCCUUUCGGAGUUAUUUAGUAAAUUGGCGUGUUUAAGGACAUUAGUUAUAGGGCAAUAUAACACUUUAGGUUUGCAUCAUGAGACAGAAAGGAUUAGAGAAAUUCCAGAAAAUGUUGGAAAAUUGAUACAUUUAAAAUAUCUUAAUUUAUCUGAAUUAGGCAUAGAGAGACUGCCUGAGACUUUGUGUGAAUUAUAUAAUUUACAAAAGCUAGAUAUUAGGCAGUGCCGAUAUCUUAGAGAAUUGCCUGCGGGGAUUGGGAAGUUAAUUAACAUGAGGAGUUUACUGAAUGGUGAAACUCAUUCAUUGAAGUACCUGCCAAUAGGGAUUUCCAGAUUGACCAGCCUUCGAACAUUAGAAAAGUUUGUUGUGGGUGGAGGUGUUGAUGGUAACAAUACGUGUAGGCUUGAAUCUCUGAAAAAUCUUCAACUCCUUCGAGAAUGUGGAAUUGAAGGGCUGAGUAAUGUGUCACAUAUAGAUGAGGCCGAGAGAUUAGAACUCUACAAUAAGGAAAACCUCCUUCGUUUGCGUCUUGAGUUUGUUGGAGUCGUAGAUGGGGAAGAUGAAGAAAGGAGGAGGAAGAAUGAGAAAGACAAACAACUUAUUGAAGCUUUACAACCGCCUUUGAGUGUAGAGAAGUUAGGGAUUAAAUCCUACGAAGGCAACAUUUUUCCCAAAUGGUUGACUUUGCUAACCAAUCUAAGGAAUUUAACGCUUGCCUCGUGCGUUAACUGUGAGCAUUUGCCUCCUUUGGGAAAAACUCGAAAUCAUCCACUUGAAAAGUGUAAAAAGAGUGGGUAAUGAGUUUUUGGGAAUAGAAGAAAACAGUGAGGACGAGCCGUCUUCAUCUUCAACAUCAUCAUCAGUUACUGCCUUCACCAAAUUGAAAUCACUCAUAAUUGGGGGAAUGGAAGAAUUGGAAGAGUGGAAUUACAGGAUUACGAGGAAGGAAAACAUCUCCAUCAUGCCCCGUCUUUCUUCCUUAACAGUUGGUAGUUUCAACAAAUUAAAGGCGCUGCCGGAUUACCUUCUUCAAACGACGGCACUGCAGAAACUGAAUAUUAGUGAUUGUGAAAAUUUGGAAGAACUGCCCAUUCUAGAAGAUCACAGGACAACAAGUGUAGUCUGUUCCUUGAUGAUUUUGGAUUGCCCCAAAAUAAAGGUGCUGCCGGAUUACCUCCUUCGAACGACGACACUGCAGGAAUUGACAAUUUUGGGAUGUCCUCUUCUAGAAGAACAUUAUAGAGAAGACAGGCAUAAGAUAUCUCACAUUCCCCGCAUCAUGGUGCCGGUAAUUUCUCCUCCGAUUUACUUCGUUGUUGCUUGCAAUAAAAUGAAUAAAAAUAAUUAUAUCUUUAAUUCUAUAUAGAAUCAAUCAUGGUAUAAAUAUGUAAAACUUCCUAGUUAUCAAAUCUGUUAAACUUGUUUCCUAAAGAUUAAAUAAAAAAAAAAAACCAAGUGUAGUCUGUUUAAAUUCGAUAAUUACUUUAAAAAAAAUAUGUGCUCUUUUGUAAAAUUUCAUACAAUCUCAUAGAAAAUCCCAAUGCAAUUUAUUUUUUAAUGUACAAAAAUUUGUUAUGUGUAACUUCCUGAGAAACAAAAUCUCUGUGAUACAUUUGCAGUAAUGUUGAAAACUAAAUUAUCAAUUUUGUCUUGCAUAAUGAUAAUCGUAUUUUUUUAUAUAUAAUUUAUGUGACAUUAAUUCUUUAAAGUAAUUGUGUAAUUGUUUUUACUACAUGAGGCCACUUUGUUUUAUUUCAUACGAGUUUAAUUAUGUUCACCAGGGAUUCGAUAAAAUGUCAGAACUACACUAGCAAUUCACAUCGUCAUCAUCGUCAUCAUCGGUUACUGCCUUCCCCAAGUUGAAAGCACCCAAAAUUAAUUAUUUGGAUGAACUGGAAGAGUGGAAUUACAGGAUUAGGAGGAAGGAAAAGAUCUCCAUCAUGCCACGUCUUUCUUCCUUGUGGAUUCGGUAUUGCCCGAAAUUAAAGGUGCUGCCGGAUUACCUUCUUCAAUUGACGACACUGCAGAAAUUGAGGAUUGAGCUAUGUCCUCUUCUGGAAAACCGUUAUAGGGAGGCGAAAGGAGAAGAUUGGCAUAAGAUAUCUCACAUUCCCCACAUCGAGAUAUCACCCGACGGUAAUUUCUUCUCCUCCUCUGAUUUACUCUGUUGUUGCUUGCAAUGAAAUUAAUAAAAAUAAUUAUAUUAUGAAUUAAAAUUCUGUAUAUUGCCAAUGUGUGACAGGAAUAUAUAAUAUAUUUCUAAUAUUUCGAUUUGCAUAUUGAAUUUAACUAUUUACUUCAGCCAUUAAUUUGCCAAUAAUUUAAUGGGUCACUCUAUGAUGCUGUUAUAAAAAUUAUAAAACCAAUCAUGGUAUAAAUAUGUACUGUUAGAUUUAAUCAAUAGUUCAUAAAUUUAAAAGUUAGUUAGGAUAAUAUUUUAAUUUUAAUUAUUUAAAAUUUAAACUUCUUAGUUAUCAAAUCUGUUAAACUAAUUUUCUAAAGAUUAAAUAAUUAAAAAAAGUGUAAUCUGUUGAAAUUCCUAUAUUUCAUACAACAUCAUGGAAAAUCCUAAUGUAAUUUAUUUUUUAAUGUACCAAAAUUUAUCAUGUGUAACUUCCUGAGAGACAUAAUCUCUGUGACACAUUUGCAGUAAUGCUAAAAACUAAAUUAUCAAUUUUAUCUUGUAUAAUGAUAAUCGUAUUUUUUUAUUUAUAAAUAAUUUAUGUGACAUUAAUUCUUUAAAGUAAUUGUGUAAUUAUGUUCACCAGGGCUUGCAGGAGGUGCCAGUAGUCUACUAGCAUCUGGCAGUUACAAGCCAAUUUGGUUUUAAUGAUGCAGGCAGGAGAGUAUGCUAAGAAAAUGAAAAGUUUAGCCAAAGGAUUGCUAAAAUGUUCUGCUGGUAAUUCACUUGCUUUAUUUUAUAGAAUUUCAUUUCCAUCUUCUUCUAUUGAUAUCUUGUUGUGAAUAAACAAGAACAGAGAAGUAAAUGAUUGAACCACAGAGAAGUAAAGAUAUAUCAAAAUUCCCUACUAUGAUGAUGUUAAAACAAGCUCAAGCUCAAGCAUUUCAUUUUUAUUUUUAUCAUCUCCAAGGGUUUGAAAGAGCCUUUGCAGUAAAGUCAGUUGUCACCAGCUCGUGCAAUUGCACAUUCAUUCAGAGUACUUCAAUAUUGGGUUUUCAAGUUUUGUAUGUUUAGUCGAUUAAAAUGUUUAGUCGCUCCUUCUUAAUCAUUUCUGAUUUUCAAGUUCUUUAGGGCCAUAAACAGUUUUUCAAACUCAAUUCUUACGUUUUAGGUUGAUUUCCUACUCGUGGAGAACAUUGGUGAGACCAAGGAUUAGGCUGGCAGUGGAACUACUGCCUCUGUUGUUAUUGUGCAAGGUUUGAUCGCUGGACCUUGAACAAGAAAGCCUUACACGCAUUCUGUAAUUCAACCGUUCUCUAAAGCAAAAGAGCAGUAGAAGGAAUGGUAAUGGCCGGAUCUGCUCUAUUUUAAUUGAAGAUCUCAGUGAUGUAGAGGAGCUUAAAGCAGUUGAUGCUUUUUGAAAAUUGUUAUUACAGAUGAAUUGAUUCCUGAAGACGAGUAAUCUAAUGAUUGUUAAGGCUUAUUUUCAUAAAGUUCCUUUUUUAACAAAUGUUUCAAUGCUUGUUGUAGUAACGUUUUCAUAUCUUGCAUCUCUCGGGUGCAUCAUGUUCGCGGGUUUGAAAAAGCAUUUGUGGUAAAGCUUCAAAGUAUAAUGGCUGUGAAAAGGCACAUUCAAUUAGGUACGUUUUGGUGCGGUCUCCCAAUGCUAAUAUCAUAUUUUGUAUAGCAAUUAAAAUUUAGGUAUACAAUCUUAAUAUGCAAUAAACCAUUGUGUACAAAGCUUUCUAUUAAUUAUAUGGUGACUGAAAUUUUAAUUAUCAUAGCAAUUUAAAUUUUUUUGUAACUGUCUUUUACUCUGCUUGUACAGAGUACCUGUUUUGGCUGAUAUGUCUAAUUCGGAGAAAUUCAUUUCCAUCGGUUUCCAUUGGCUUUAGCACAAACAGAAACAGAGAUCGGGGAAAAGUUUUACUUCUUGUGGUAUUAUGCCUCUGUUUCUUCAUUCAUCAUAUUUUUCGAAUUCAUGCUCUCAUUCAGAGGGUAAAGCCUUUUCCAGGCUGCUUUGUGGCCAAACUUUGACGCCAUUGAUGCAUGAGUGUCAUUUAGAUUUUCCAAAUAACUGUUAGAUUGGAGAAGAAUAAGAAUAUAGAUGUAUCACCUCAAAGUCUGAUUUCAAAUUUCCUUUACUUAAUCAACUAGCAUCCUUUCCAAGUCCAGAUACUUACCAGUAGUGAGACUUUGCUACGGAAGUACAAUUUCUCUUGUUUUACAGUUAAAUAUGUAAGAAUAGUUUUAAAUUUACAGAAUUCUGAUAUAGUUCUAAGGAAAUGCGAGUGGUGAAUCUGGUUCCAACUUUUAAUAGGCUUAAGAGGCCCAUUUGUUCAGCCACAGUGAUUGCCGUCUAAAUUCUUCUUUACUGUCUAUAUGUGUUGGAGUUUGUCUAUUGUCCAACUUCUCAAACGCCAUGCAGGGUUUUGAAUGUCUAAUUAGGAGAAAGAUCAAUGGAUGACCUUUUGAAGAAGGCUUACAUAACAGGCCAUCUCAGUAUGUCACGGCUCAGCUCAAAAGUCCCCAGGUGGUUGAUACUUGAUACCAAAGAAUGCCAUUGUUUCUGGGCUUGGGCUCCUUGGCGUCAAGAAAAGUAGUGUUGACUCUAUUGAAGGGGAAAUAGGGGCAACUAAAGCUCGAAGAAAGAGGAUAGUCCGGAGGAAGAUGACGGCAUAAAUUUGUUGGAGUUAAUGUAGUCAAUUGCCCAAUUUUGCUGCCUGUCGAAGAGACAGCGCAUAGAAGUCCUCAUGAAACUCUGAGACACAGAUAGAGGGGUCUUUUCUUGAUGUCUAAAUACCGUAUGUGAUACAACAUCGUGUAUUCCAAUUUUUCUCCUGUUAAAUUUUAAUAAGUUAGGAAAGUUAAUUUUGUUUUAGCAAUGAAUUGUUUUCUUAAUAAUAAUAAUUGCCAUGUUCCUCUGAAGUCUUAUUAAUGCCAGACCAACAACUACUAGGUUCAUCUCUCGUUCACUUCCUCAGGGAUUCUCGAGGGCAUUCUUUGGCAGGUAGUCUUUCUUGUUGAGCUCCUGGAAUUACUUUCAAUUUAUCAUUUGUUGGGUUUUGCUUUUUGAUUGCUUUGUGAUUUGUGUAUUUAUGGCUUUGUCGCUAAUUAAUCUUGGCUGUUUUGAAUCUGUGCUGGAUUUAGAAGUUUGGAGUUGAAAACUGUUAAAGCUUAGACUAGUAGAAGAAAUUUAUACAUUCAUUUAUCUUGGACAAAGUUUUUGGAAAAAAAAAAAUUAUAAGUAUACACUUUCCAAUGGUUUGGUGAUGUUUGAUUGGUUUUAAGAUGUUGGAUCUCUCAUCAGAUUUCUUUAUGUUUUGACUGCUGUUGCCACAGGAUGCUCGCAGAUCCUGCUUUUUUGUAUAAACUUAUACUAGAGCAGGCUGCCACAAUUGGUUGCACUGUUUUGUGGGAGUUGGAGAAUCGUAAGGAGAGGUGUUUUUUUCUUUCAUAACAAAGGGACUCUCCCCUUCCUUUUUAUUUUCAUUUUAUAUAUUAAGCUAAUAAAUGUUUGUUUCUGUCAUGAUAGGAUAAAGCAAGAAUGGGAGCUUGCCCCAAUAAAUGUGCUCACAGUAACAGCAUGUAAUCCUUUUGUUGUUUGGUCACUUGCUCCUUGUCGUUCUUAUGGAAACACCUUCCGGUUUGACUUGCAAAAUACAUUACAAAAGCUCCCAAACAAUAUAUUUGAACGAAGUUACCCAUUUCGAGAACUUGAAUCCACUCCAUUUUUUACAAGGCUGCAGAGUUGUGUGUGGUGGGAUUAACUGCAGGAGCAGUGCAAGGUUCUUUGUCAAACUAUCUGGCUGGUAAAAAGGACAGGUAAACAUUGUUGCAAAACUUUCUUUUCAUUCCUCUUUCACUUAUUCGUUAUAAAUAAAGAAAACUUAGAAGAUUGUUCUGUUUACUGUCUAAGCCAGUUUAACAUUUGUUAAAUUUGGGCCACCUUUAAUGUCUGACAGGUUAUCUGUGACAAUCCCAUCUUUGAGUACUAGUGCGCUUGGUUAUGGUGCUUUCCUUGGACUAUAUGCAAACAUGAGAUAUCAGCUAUUGUGUGGAUUUGAUAGAGCGGUCAUCAACCAUUUUGAUGUUAUUGGAGUAGCACUGUUCUUAAGCACUGCUUUGAGGUAUCUCCCUCUCUCUCUUUUACGUAUUUGUUUAUUGAUCUACAUCUCUAUAUACAUUGAUAGACUAUUCUGGUCGUACCAAAUUACCCUUGUUUUAAUGUUUUGUUUGUUAAACUUUGACUGGGGAAUCUGUUUAUUUGUCUGAUAUGAUGUUAGUGUGGUUUCUAUUGGAGUGUGUAGAUCUAUCACCGAGUAUUAUUUCAAUUUUUCUUUACUUAAUCAACUUGCAUCCUUUCCAAGUCCAGAUCCUUAACAAUAGUGAGACUUCGCUACGGAAGUACAAUUUCUCUAGUUUUACAGUUAAAUACGUAAGGAUGAUUUUAAAUUAACUGAACUCUGAGGUAGUUUUCUAAGGAAAUGCAAGUGGUGAUUAUGGUUCCAAGUUUUAAGUGCCUUAAUUAACCCAUUUGUUCAGCCCUGUGCGUAAACAAUCAGUAAUUGCUGUCCAAAUUCUUCUUUACUGCCUAUAUGUGUUGGACUUUGUCUAUUGUUCAACUUCUCAAAUGGAUUCCAUGCAGGGUUUUGAAUGUCCAAUUAGGAGAAAGAUCAAGGCUUGCUUGGCUAGGAGUGGAAGCGGAUCCGCUACUUCAGUCAGAUGACCUUUUGAAGAAGGCUUACAACAGGCCGUCUCAGGAUGUCAAUGGCUCAACUCAAAAGUCCCCAAGGUGGUUGAUAUCAAAGAAUGCCAUUGUCUCUGGGCUUGGGCUCCUUGGCAUCAAACAAGGGAAUGUCGACUCUGUUGAAGAGGAAGCAAGGGCUCCUAAAGUGCGAAGAAAGAGGAUAGUCCGGAAGAAGGUGACCGCAUAAAUUUCUUGGGAGUUAAUCCUAGUCAAUAGCCCAAUUUUGCUGCCUGCCGAAGAGAUACAACUCGGAAGUCCUCAUCAAACUCUUUGAGACAUCUAAGAACUAGUAGGGAGGUGUUUCCUGACAAGUAUAGUUCACUGCUGGAGGGAUUCUUUUCUUGAUGUCUAAAUACUAUAUGUGAUACAACGACGUAUAUUCCAAUUUUUCUCUAGUUAAAUUCUAGUAAGUUAGAAAAGUUAAUUUUGUUCUAGGGAUGAAUUGUUUUCUUAAUAAUAAUAAUGGCCUGUUGCUUUGGAAUCUUAUUCACUCUCUGUAACCCAGUUAAAUUGUGCAAAUUGUACUGCAGAUUUAUCAAACAGAGUGUCUUUGUGAUUGUUUUGAUACACUUUUGAUGGCAAG
This 38079-nucleotide long non-coding RNA is filed under the name Citrus x clementina. RNAcentral describes it as "Citrus clementina (C. clementina) long non-coding RNA (CCLE_LNC002483)". Lineage: Eukaryota; Viridiplantae; Streptophyta; Magnoliopsida; Sapindales; Rutaceae. The record is from RNAcentral.